RNAcentral lists this ribosomal RNA (253 nucleotides) under uncultured bacterium. RNAcentral describes it as "partial 16S ribosomal RNA". It matches the Rfam family "Bacterial small subunit ribosomal RNA", at positions 524 to 776 of the family's 1533-position model. The record is from RNAcentral.
UACGGAGGGUGCAAGCGUCAUCCGGAUUUACUGGGUUUAAAGGGUGCGUAGGUGGGUUGGUAAGUCAGUGGUGAAAUACUUUCGCUUAACGAAGGAACUGCCAUUGAUACUAUCAAUCUUGAAUACAGUGGAGGCAGGCGGAAUGCGUCAUGUAGCGGUGAAAUGCUUAGAUAUGGCGCAGAACACCAAUUGCGAAGGGAGCUUGCUACACUGUUAUUGACACUGAGGCACGAAAGCGUGGGGAUCAAACAGG